This is a long non-coding RNA of Macaca fascicularis (crab-eating macaque), 1374 nucleotides long. NCBI's taxonomy places the organism in Eukaryota, Metazoa, Chordata, Mammalia, Primates, Cercopithecidae. The record is from Ensembl.
UUUUUUUUUUUUUUGGCCAACAAUUUAUUCAUUCAGUCACAUCCAUUUACUAAGUAUCUACCAUGUUUUACCUGCUUACUUUUUUUUUUUUUUUUAAGAUGAUGUCUCACCCUGUCACCCAGGCUGGAGUGCAGGGGCACAAUGUUGGCUCACUGCAACCUCCGCCUCCCAGUGCAAACAUCACAUCCCCAGGAAGCCCCUUCCUUAUUAUUCUCUCUCACACACACCCCAGGCCAGAUCAGAUUCCCCUCUAUAUACCAGCAGGACACCCUGUAUUUCUCCUUCAUGGGAUUUGUCACCGCUUGAAGUAACAUAUUUGUGAGAUUGUUUAAUUAACAUCCGUCUAAUGUAUCCUCCAUUAGAUUAAGAGGUCAUAAAUUACAUCUCUAGAGAUAAGGGGUAUUCUAAAAGCACAUCAUACCGACUUGGGGGUACAAAUGGGAUUGGUGUGUUAAUAUCAGAACUAUCCCUUUGAAUCUGCUCCACCUGUUGUUGUGGGUCCUUCAAACUCAGUUCCAGACCCCCACCCGUCCAGGGUUCCAGGAGUCCCAGCGUAUGCCUCCCAUGGGCAAACCUGAGCCCUCUCAGCCCUCCAAGACAUCUCAUAUUUCCUGCCUCUGGGGUGCGGCUCCCUGCAGCAAUGAGCUGCUGAGGCCUCUGUGCGCCUCAAAGCCACCUAUGUGUUGUCAGAUAUGAUAUUUUGGUUCUGAUCACAGAGAUUUCAAUCAAUUAGUUCUUUCGGUUUUUACUCCCAGUCCCUGCUUCCUAGAGCUCAAGACUGGGGUUGGCAAAAAGAAAAAAAAGAAUUCCCCAUCCGAUCCUGAAGCAAAGGCUUACAUCAUGCUCGGGUGCCUUGACGCCCUUUAACCUUGAGACAAAUUCUUUUCCAGAAGCCUUCGUGGUGGCUCAUCUAAAUAAUCCCCAGUACAGCCUACCAAAUGAGUCUUCCAGUGACCCCAGGCCUGUGUGCACUGAAGUGAAACAGAAGCCAGGGCAUUAUAGUGAGACCCCCAUCUCUAUGAAAGAAAAUGUUAUCAAGUUAGCUGGGUGUGGUCACAUGAGCCUGUAUUCCCAGCUACUCAGGAGGCUGAGGCAGAAGUAUCACUUGAGCCCAGGAGUUCAGGUUUGCUAUGAUGGUGUCAGAGGUGUUCAAACCAGAGCAACUCCAUCUUGAGUGAGGACUAGGAAAAUGAGGCUGGGACUUGCUGGGCUGCAUUCCCAGAAAGUUAGGUAUUCCUAGCCUCUAGGUGUUUACAGUUAAGGGAACAGAUGGAGAGCUUACUAAACAGACCCAGACUUGUGUCCUGAUAUCUUGAUAUCUUCAGAACAAAGGCAUUCCGAAUUUUGCUUUAUUUAUUUACUUAUUUAUUUAUU